AGAUGCGAUACUACCAACUAAAACUUGGAGCCCGACGCCCGUGGAAUUUGGCAGUCCUAAAGAAUAUGCUUGCGGCAAGCUUUCCGAUCAUAGAUUCUAGAAAAGAAUGAGCUACGACUAAAGUUGCACAUAAAAUUGUCUACGCAUAGAGAUAUUAGAAUCCACAUUCAUUUGUUUGAAUAGAAAUGCUUGACUUUUGAAGUUCUAAAGUGCACCAUAAAUUGGCCCAGCUCUAAACUUCUGAAAAGCCCUCAUUUUAGCAAAAUUACCACAGUAAGACCAGAUAGAUUGUCUUUGGCCAUCAAAAGGAGGAAACUGCAAAGCUUUUGUGAUACUAGGAAUACUAGCGGGAUCACAUUUAAGUCAAGUGCCUCUAGUGGAUCAAGACACUGCAACUAGAUGGGAUCCAUCACUAAGUCUAUCAUCCUCAAUUUUCCAUAAGGUAUGGUUCAAGCGAUAUUAUCCCUCCUUAUCUUGCACUAUCUAUGAUUAAGCUAAAGAAUUGUUUAAAAUAUAUAGAGUUAGAGCAUGGUUUUUGAAGGAACAAUUUGGAAAGAGAAAUGAGCCCUUCAAUCUUUUGAAAUAAAAAAAUCUGUUUUUAGAGGAUCAUAUGGUGUACCUUGAUUUUAGGACUUUCGCAUUCCAGGAGGCACCAUAUCCCCAAGUAACCCUUCAUCCGUGAAUAUACGUCCACUUGGAUCUGAUGGUGCAUGAGAAUGUCCACUUUCACGCGAGACGUUGAAUGAUUCCUGGAUUCCAACGGAACCUUGAGGAAAUUGGACUCCCGGAUAAUAAAAUUGAGAGCUCGAAGGUGUCAAUUGGCUGCCAAAUGGUACUUCAUGGCUGAUGAGACCACCUCUUGGGAAUCCAACAGUAUGGUGACAGUGUUGUCCUUCAUACGUAGUGAUAACGAUCGUGGGAUCUUCAGAGGAGCGUUCAACUCUUUUCUUUACGGUGCAUUUGCUGUUAGUACAACGGUAGUAGCUCCUGCAAAUGACAGUGGACAUUCUUGUUAUGUGCCACACUCGUAUGCUACACACGCAUUAAUUCGGUUUACUCAGUGAUUCUUCAAUGCUCUACAACUGUAACUACGUAUACUUGCCAAGUAAAUGUAACAAAUGUACACAAAGCUGUGCUUGAGGUCUAUGCACUGGCCUAACAAUUUACCAAAUAAAUUUGUAGUCUUGAACUUGAUGUGCUUCCAACAUGCCCAAGAUUAAGAUAUUUUGCUAUUUUUUCUCUAAAUAGCAAGCCACCUGGAGAUUUCUUGCCAUUCACCAAACCAUUUUGUUGCUUAUUUUCAAGCCACAUGAGGAUGAAGAAUAGGUAAAUGUUGAAACUCCAUUGUAGUGCCACCAAAUGAAGGCACAUUAUUCAAUAUGCAUUAAUCAAACUGGGCAGGCAUAUUAAAUUUCCU
RNAcentral lists this long non-coding RNA (1417 nucleotides) under Coffea arabica (coffee). RNAcentral describes it as "long non-coding RNA (CARA_LNC007619)". The record is from RNAcentral. Lineage: Eukaryota; Viridiplantae; Streptophyta; Magnoliopsida; Gentianales; Rubiaceae.